Molecule: ribosomal RNA, 217 nt
Filed under: uncultured bacterium
Lineage: Bacteria
Description: partial 16S ribosomal RNA
Rfam family: Bacterial small subunit ribosomal RNA
Source: RNAcentral
ACGCUCGACACCUACGGGAGGAGCAGUGAGGAAUAUUGGUCAAUGGGCGCAGGCCUGAACCAGCCAAGUAGCGUGAAGGAUGACUGCCCUAUGGGUUGUAAACUUCUUUUAUAUGGGAAUAAAGUUUUCCACGUGUGGAAUUUUGUAUGUACCAUAUGAAUAAGGAUCGGCUAACUCCGUGCCAGCAGCCGCGGUAAUCUGAGCGGGCUGGCAAGGC